CCCCAUUUUUUGAUAAAUAAAUAAAAUGGUUUAAAAAUGUAUUUUUUGAUUCAAUUUGUGAUUUGAAAAAUUAAUUGUGAUUUAAAAGAAAGAUGGGUCUAAAUGGGACUUUUGAAAAUGCGACGAUUUGACCCAAGAAAAAUAGUUCAAAAAGGGUUUUUUAUAUGAAAAAUGGAGUCGCCACUUGGUAUAGAGUUAGGGUGUACCAAGUCACCCAAAAAAGUGAAUUUUUUAAGGAAAAAAGUAAGAAACCCUUUUGAACGACUCCUAGUCCACGUAAACCAAUCAAAAAGGUUCGGGAGUCACAUUUGACGAAGGGGAAGGCAAGGAUAAAUCCAAGGCACCCCUUUGACCUAGCCAAGGCUAGUUGCGUUGAUUUAAUCAAAGAUUUUCUCGUUUUAACCAAAGAAUUUAUUACAUUUGGAUGUACUACAUGAAUGCAAACCCUAGACCUAGGGGUAUUGGGGGAAAUUUCCCUUCAAAGGUUGAGUGGUGCCAAUCACAUUAAUUGUGAAGCCCAAUAACGAUCCUUUGAAGAAGUCACGAAUAAUGCGAGUGGGAUGCAAAUGAAUGGAAUGCAUGUAUACAAUGUGAGGACAUGAGUUUGAAAAAGUAAUAAAAGAUAAGAAUGUGUAAAUGGAAAUGUGCACGUGAGUGGGCAAGGUGCGGUGUGUGAAAUGAUAAUAUGAAGUACAUGUGUGCAAGUGAUGAUAAAAGUGUUUGUGUGCAAGUGAAGGGAUAAAAAGGUGUACGUGUGCAAAUGAGGGGAGAAGUGUUCGUGUGCAAGUGAAGGGAUAAAGGUGUACGUGUGCAAAUGAGGGGAGAAAAUGAAAGUGUAAUGAUAGAGUGGAUGCAUGAACCUAGGGAAUUCAUGCAUAAUGGGUACGGGGAGACCUAAAUCGUGACUCAAUUUGCCCUUUGAUAGAGAGGAUACAAGCGUGCUAAGGCUUAGAAAAAGCCACACUCGUCUAUAUCCCAUAUUUAAGGGGACUCUCAAGCAAAUGAACCCUAUAACUAGCAUGAAAUGCAAAAAUCCUAAAAAUGGAGGGAAAAGGGGUUCGAGGGGCAUGCAAAAUGAUAAAACUAAAAAGAAUGCAUGACAUGUGAUGAACAUGCAAACAUGUACUAACGAGGAAAAAUCCCUAAGGGUCUAGCGUUGGACUAGCCCUUUCUAUGGAUUUCUACUAGCAUUGGACUAGUGGAAACGGAACAAUGAACCACAACUAACGUUGGACUAGUGUGGUGACGAGAAAGGGGGCCACAACUAGCAUUGGACUAGUGUGGUGACGUCCAUUCAUCCAUCACAUUCAUUCAUGACUAUAAAAAGCGAGUAGACAUGCGAAUCACUUAUAAACACGUAGCACAUAACACUUAGCAUGCUUGACUAGAUGCAAGGACCUAAUAAAGCGAUUAAACACGUAGCAGCGAAAGCAAGCAAUGAACUUAUUACAUUUGCUAAUUAAAACAAAGGGGGGAAAGGGAAAAUGGACAAGAAAGCUCACCCUAUCUAUUACAAGCCAAGAGGUGUACACAUACCCCAUUUAAAAGAAUAAUUUAAUAAAAACAAGAAUGAAUGAAAUAAUGGAACUAAAGAAUGGUAAUGAAAGCAAAUUAGGCAUGCGAUUCACACUUAGCACAUUGGAUCACAUAGGAGAGGCAAAAGGGAUAAAAGAAUUUAUACCUCCCUUGAAAUGAAGCUCUAAUGGAGUGAAAUCAACUUAUUUACCCUCCAAAAUAACAAAGGAGUCAAGGUGCCAAUUUAUUUGACAAAUAAUCACAAAGAAUAAAAAUAAACAUGAAUUUGAAUCAAUUAAAUCAUGUCAACAACCCACAUUUAAGAAGUCAAGAAAAGAAAGGACUUGAUUGCAAAGAUUGGCAAAAUUUUGGGGCCAAAAUUAAAGAAAAAUAAAGUUCAGGGACUCAUUUGCAAUUAAACCAGGGACUGAAUUGAAAGCAGUUGAAAAUAUCCAGGGGCACAGUACAAUUAAGGAGAACUUCAAGGACCGAUUUGCAAAAUCAUUUUCUGGUUUCUUAAUGGUCCAAACCAUUGGACCAUUUUCUUAUUUGCUUGGGCCAAAACCUUCGAAGCCCAACCGAAAAUCCAAGGCAAAUGGAAGUAGGCCAAUCUGCUAUUUUGGCCCAAAAAUUAACCAACAAAACCGGUGGGCUUUUACCCCUUGGCCCAAACCAAAACCCCAAAAUCAUAAACUAACCCACUUUCUUAAACCCAAACAACAAAAAACUCUUAGCCCACAUCACUUGUUUUAUUGAACCCAAUCAUGAUAAAAUCAAUAAAAUUAUUAAACCUCAAUUAUAACCUACAAACAAGAAUUAAUCUAUCCAAACAAAUCACAUAAAAUAUGCAAACAGAGGAUUAAGCUUAAAAGGGUGAAAUUAGUUCGAUUUUUCCAGAUUUUGGGCCACGGUGAAUUUGGGGACACUUGAGGGGUUCAAGUGCAAUAAUAACAGGGACUUGAUUGAAAGAAUUAUGAAAGAUCUGGGGCGAAUUAUGGAGCGCUAAUAAUUCUGAAAAUAAAUUACAAAACAAAAUAAAAAUGGAGGGACUGAAAGUGCAGUUUUACACCAAAAGGUCUUCUUCUCCAACGGAUCAGACGUCAAUAUACCAUUUCUGCCUUUCUUUGUAGAGGAAGAACGUUCGAAAAUUCAAAUUCCAACUCACACGAAUCUCAUAUCAUUCAAAUUCAUGCCAUUAAAUCAAAUUCGUGCAAAAGGAAAUCUAAGAAAACGAAAUUCUUCAAACUCUACUUUCUCAUAAAAACAAUUAUUCGGACAAGCAUGGACUUCACUGACCAUUUGCUUUCCCCACCCUCAAAUGCCGAUAAACUACCUCCCAAGUAAAUUUUCAAACAAGCAUUUCAUCGAACAGGAAAUAGGCAUUAAAGUUUCACCAGAUUUUUGCUCGAAUUGAAGUAUAACUAGCCCAAAAAUUUGUCAGCAAACCAAGGAUUUCAAUUCCAAUCAUUAUGUAUAACAUACAUACUCCAAACUUGCAAAUAGCCGACAGGAAAUUGCUACAAACCAAGGCAUAAAAAAAACAGGUUCCGGGAGUUUGAAGAAGGACUGAAAUUUGAAAGAAAAAGGACCGCUUACCAUAUCCAGAAUAGCAUCUCUUUCUCUUCGUCUCCUUCAUUCUGGAAUUGGCCAUGGAGAUUUCGUUGCCUUCAUUGGGGUCCAGCCAGACCUUGUCUAGUGUUUUCUUGGUGACAUUUGCAGGCGGCGGCAAUGGAUUGAUGGUGAGGUGGUAGUAGAAACCUCUGCUGCUUCGACGGAUGGGGUGGCAGAGGUGGCAGCGUGGCGGACGGCAGUGGUGGUUCUGGUUCCUUACCGCACAGCUUGGCUUCUGUUUCUCCAUCCCAAGCUUACUGCCGAAGCCCUCUGUCGUUCAAGCUCUGUUGCCUUUUUUCUUUUUUUCUGAUUUUCUCUAAUUUUCCCAGCCGUCAUCCUCCCCUCCCUCUCGGUUUUUCUCCUGCGCAGCCGCCCCUCUCCUCUGUUUUUCUCUGUUUUCUUUUUCAGCUACAUCCGCCGCCCAUCACUUAUUUCUUUUGUUUUCUCCCUUUCUUCCUCUGCUUCUCAGCCGCCUAGACGGAGUUCACCUCUCUAAUUGUUCCCCCUUUUUACCCUUUUCUUGCCGUUUGUUGAAGCCGAAGCCCCCCCUUCAUUUUCUUGCUCCCCAGUUCUUUUCAGCCGACUGACCCCUUUCUUUUUUUCCCCUUCCUUCCUUUUUUCAUUCGUCCCCUUUUGCUGUUUUUCUUAGCCCACCGACUCCCCCCAGAUUCAUCCCCCUUCCAGGUGUCUUAGACACCUGGCCUUUGUAGCUAAAUUUGCCCCCCAAGGACUCCCUGCAAUUUCUUCUUGCAAGCUGCGGCAACACGCAGCUUUUGGCAUGCGUGACCUUUUUUCUUUUUCCUUUUCUUUUCUCAAAAUAACUUAAUAAAAAUAACUAAAGUGCCAAAAGAUUGAAUUUGAACGUAUUUUUGUGACCAAUUUUCCUUUUUUUCAUGAUUUUUCUACGCUAAAACUUGAAAAUAAAAAUAAAAAUAAAAACUAGAAACUAAAAAAAAACUAAAAGCAACCACGACAAAUGAGAAUAAAAAGUAAAAGAAAUUACACCAAAAAUUUGGUGUCUACAGUUUGCCCCUCUUUGUCUGAGUUUGGAAAAACUUGAGACAAAGAAGUAGACACCAAAUACUUACCUGCUUUAUUCGGUGGCAAACGUCACGAACGGUGGACGUUUUAGAAAUAAGGACUGACCCCUUUUGGCAAAACUUUUGAAAUGGAAUUGACUUAGACAGGAGAUUUAAAGCGGGAUUGAUCCGAACGGAAUUUAAAGACGGGACUGGCCCAAACAGGAACUUAAAGCGGGACUGACCCGAACAGGAAUUUAAAACGGGACUGACCCGAACAUGGAUUGAAAACGGGACUGACCCGGACAGGAAUGUAAAUGGGAUAGACCUGAAUAGAAAUUUAAAUGGGAUAGACCCAGACAGAAAUUUAAAUGGGAUAGACCCCAGACAGAAAUUUAAAACGGGACUGAUCCGAACAAAAAAAUUAAAAUUGGGACUGACUAGAGAGGGAAAUUCAAAUCAUGGGACUGGCCCGAACAAGCUUUAAUCGCGGGGCUGACCCGAAUAAGCUUUGAAUCGCGGGACUGACCCGAACAGGCUUUGAAUCGUGGGACUGACCCACAUAAGCUUUGAAUCGUGGGACUGACCCGAAUAAGUUUUGAAUCGUGGGACUGACCCGAAAAUGCUUUUGAUCAUGGGACUGACCCGAUAAUGCUUUCGAUCAUGGGACCGACCCGAAUAAGCUCUUGAUCGUGGGACUGACCCGAAAAUGCUUUUGAUCAUGGGACUGACCCGAAAAUGCUUUUGAAUCGUGGGACUGGCCCGAAUAAGCUUUGAAUCGUGGGACUGACCCGAAAAUGCUUUUGAUCGUGGGACUGACCCGAAAAUGCUUUUGAUCAUGGGACUGACCCGAAAAUGCUUUUGAUCGUGGGACUGACCCGAAUAAGAUUUUAAUCGCGGGACUGACCCGAAAAUGCUUUCAAUCGUGGGACUGACCCGAAUAAGAUUUUGAUCAUGGGACUGACCCGAAAAUGCUCUUGAUCGUGGGACUGACCCGAAUAAGCUUUGAUCAUGGGACUGACCCGAAAAUGCUCUUGAUCGUGGGACUGACCCGAAUAAGCUUUGAUCAUGGGACUGACCCGAAAAUGGUUUUGAUCAUGGGACUGACCCGAAAAUGCUCUUGAUCGCGGGGCUGACCCGAAAAUGCUUUCGAUCGUGGGACUGACCCGAAUAAGCUUUUGAUCAUGGGACUGACCCGAAAAUGCUUUCGAUCGUGGGACUGACCCGAAUAAGCUUUUGAUCGCGGGACUGACCCGAAAAUGCUUUGAAUCAUGGGACUGACCCGAAUAAGUUUUGAAUCGUGGGACUGACCCGAAAAUGCUUUGAAUCGUGGGACUGACCCGAAAAUGCUCUGAAUCGUGGGACUGACCCGAAAAUGCUCUGAUAAUCGGUCAGUGGGAUUAAGCCCAAACCUGCCGUGAUGAAACUUGAUUUGAUUUUGAUUUUGAUUCUUUUCUUUUCUUUUCUUUCUGAUUUUUCUGAUUUUUUUGGAUUUUUGAUUUUUGAAAUUUUUUCUUUUCUUUUUUUUUAUUGACUUUUUUUUUAUUUGAUUUUUUUGAUUUUUGAAAAACUUUCCAAAAUAACUUGCCCCAGUAUGAUGAAUUGAUUAGUGGGAUUACACCCAAGCCUGCCUUGGUUGCACUGGCGGCACAAAUUUCAGACUCAAUAGGAUGUCGGCGGCACAAAAUCCAGGCCCGACGUGAUUUGUGAUGUUGGCGGCAUGAAAUCCCGGCCCAACGUGAUUUUUGGAGGGUUGGCGGCACGAAGUCCAGGCCCAACUUGAUUUUUGGAAGGUUGGCGGCACGAAAUCCAGGCCCAAUGUGAUAUUUGUGAAUGGCCAGUGGGAUAAGACGCAGUCCUGCCACCCAAUUGGUCAAGAAAUUGAAUUUGAUUUGUCAAGAAACAAGAAAUUUGAUUUUCCAAGAAAUAAGAAUUUGAACUUGAUUUUUGAUUUUUGAAUUUUGAAUUUUUUCUGAUUUUUCGAGAGAAUCUUUUCAAAAUAAUUUACCCUCAGUGUAGGGUCCUUUUUCCCUUCUUUCUUUUCUUUCUUCGGCGUCGGCUUUCCACAUCGCCAGAUGCUCCUUCGUCAAUUUCAACUAUGAAUACCUGCACAGGGGCUUACCAAAAUAUGACAUGCACUUGAAUUUCAUGAAAAGAAACAGCGUGAUUGAUUUGAAAAAUGCAUUAUUUGAUUCUUGGACGAAAUCCUCAAAUGAACUAUAAAAAUUUUGCCUCAGUGUGGGCUUAUUCUGUGAAAUCCCAUGAAUAAAAAUUUGCCCCAAUGUGGGCCCAUUUAAUGGAAAAAGCUUGUUCGGAUGACUUUCCAUUUAUUUGAACACUGUAAGAAUUAUGUUUCCUACAAGGAAAUUUCAUGAUGAAUUUCUUGAAAUAAUACCAAAUUACAAGUGAUUCUUUCCUCAUUUUAGCACCGAUGCUUUGGGUAAUGGGUCACCAUUUCCUGUUGGCUCAAUCUUUCAGGACCAACCGAGUGGGUGUUAUUUCUGAUUUUGGGGUGGCUAAGGAAAAUGAGAAGUCAAGAUUUGUCUUGUUAUUGUGCUCCCAAUUGUAUGUAAUCACAUCUUAGUGAAAGCAAAGAGUUUGUCACCCUUAUUUCUCAAGAAAAUUUAGUCAACAUAUAAGCUUUCUGGGCUUGUAACGUAUGGGCGGAAACGAUAGCUAAAUAGGUGAAAACUGGUUAUACCCUUAUGAUCCGAAUGAUCGUGGGAUUCUUUAAAAGCAUAAUUCUCACUUCAAGUUGUCAUGAAGGAUAAGUCAACGAUGGACUUUAUGAGCUUGUAAUGUGGCUUGAAAACGAUAGUUAAAGAAUAAGACUUUCAAGGAUAUUGCACCGCAAAUCGCAUUUUCCAAAAUUGCCCCUAUUUUGAACUUGAAGAUCCUGAAUUUUGUUUGACUUUUGUCAUCAUUCACCAGGGAUUUCAGAGUCGAUAUUUUUUUGCAUUUAUUUUUUUUGCUUCGCUUUUUGCCUCUUUUUUCCCUCGAGCUGAUGGGUUUCCUCAUACCCGAGUAAUUCAGAAAUACAGCUAAAAUUUUCAGCAUCAGAAAUUUUCUCGACAAGGCCAUUGCAAAGAACAGAAGUCAGGACUUUCGGCUUUUGUAAUGGGGUCAGGUGGGGUGCUUAGAAAAGUUAAGGCUCGAAGGCAGAUUUUAAAAAUGGUUUGAAGAAUCUGAGAUCGCAUUGUUACACCAACCCUAUUUUAGGGUUAAAUCAGAAUUUGCCCCAGAGUUUAUGCUCAAUUGAGGCUUUUCUCUUUCAUUUUCUUUUGAUUGAUUUUCCUUUGGCUUUUUUCGCCAUUUUUGAACUUUCACAAAAUUUGCCCCAGUUUAUUUUUGAACUGAGGUUCUCUUUUCUUUUCUCUUCUUUUGCUUUUGUUGCUUUAGCACUUUUCGCCCUUUGGGACUUUUAUUUCUUUUUCAAUCUCAAAGUUACCCCAGUGUGGGGUUUGCGAUUCUCAGGGGUCGCCAAACGAAAUAAUUUAUUCUGAAAGCUCAAAAGGGACAACUAGAGAUAGAAUGUUCGAUUGAAAAAGAAGAGGGCCUGACCUUUAAUCCGUUCCUUACAUUAACUCUGAAAGGAAAAUUUUCAUUAAUGCGAAAUUUUUGCAUGCACCUGAAUCAACUGACUGAGGAAGACUCUCCAUAAGUGGUUCGUCGGACAAAACCUUUCCUUUUUCCCUUUUUCCAAAAUUGAAUCCCAGAUAAAUUCAAAUUUCUCCAAUUUGUGAUUCCCUCUUUUCUUUUCUUUUGGCAUUUUUGCUUUUUCUCCUUUUGGAAAAUUCUCCAAUCUCCUUCCCCAAUGUGGGGUGCGAUCAUUAGUGCUUUGAAAAGAACCACCGAUUUUAGCUCAAAUGAGGAUGCAAUGGGUAAAUUGUGUUUAGAUUGUAGAAACGAUGGCCAAAGUAUCAUUCUCACACUCCAUGACAACCAAAGUAACGAAUUGCUCAUUGAAAAUUCAUUCCCUUUUUUGAUAUUUGAAAAAUUUUCCCGUGUAGGGUAGUGAUCAUUAAGGCUCUUAUUUGAAACGAAAUUAUUCUUUCAAAGGCUCAAAUGGGAGAUCAAAUGAUAAAAGCUAUAUGGAUAGAGAAACCAACGCUUGAAAUAUCAUCACAAAUUCCCAAAAUAGAUAAGGAUAGUGCACCAUUUUGCUUUCACUGAGAUGUAGAUUGAAUCUAAUUAGACACAAUGGACAUUUUUCAAGUAAGGAUUGCCCCAAUUUGCAAUUUAUCAAUCAAUGUGACUGAUUUUAUUUUGGGGUUAAAUGAAGGAGAAAAGGUAUCUCAUUGGGCCUUUCGAGUGACCUCUUACUUUUUCCCUGAGCACUCUUAUUGUAUAACUCGGAUCACCAAUCGAGUGUAAGGAUCUUAGGAAGCAUUCACUUGUGAAUUUUCAGGCUAGAGAUUAAAAAUAUCUCAAUUUGGUCUUAUUUCCCAAAAUUCAUCAUGAAAUCUCCAAUGAGUAAGAAUAAAGAAUGAAAUGUACAUAAAUAUACACAAAACAAUAAUUGUCCAAAAAUUUUAUUGCUGAAAAACAAUUUGAAACAAAAUUUCUCGUUCAAUUAUGAUACAAAUGAGAAGAGAAUUUAUUGUCUCCUUUUCUUUUGGAACAAAAUUUUAUAAACAAAUCAAAAAAACAGAAUUUCCCUUUGGAAAAUAAUUACAACUUCUCUCAGAGGCUUUAGCGUAGAGCUUCCAAAUGGAUCAUUUAUGUUUUUAUUGUAGGAUCUGUCCAAAAAUCAAAUAAUACUUGUAAUCUUCAAACUUUAUGAGAUUAAAAUUAGCAUCAGAUAUAGAAGAAUAUUUUCGUCUUAUUGAAACAUUUUUAUGAAUGCAGGGGAGGGGGAAAACAAAAGAAAAAUACCCAGAGUUAGUAGGCAAAACUGCAAAAUCGGUAUGCAUGUCCUAUGGGGGAACCCUUUUUGUGCCAAGGGUAGGCCUAGCAUGAAAAUGCAAUCCGCUAGAGUAGGCACUAUACAAUACCUGAUGGAUCUGAUCAACUCCUUGAGUGAAAAACAAUUUGAAAAAUUUGGCCCAUUGGAAUGAGAAGAGACGAUGGUCAAAAUGAGGACCUCGUCCGAAGGGAUUGAUCACCUUUGAUCGAUAUAAGAAUUUGCAAAAAACGUACGGGUUUUGACCUUGACGAACUUCCUAUCGAAGAGAUUGGAAUUCGUUGACAAAUUUUCUCAGUGGAGCACGGGUCAAAACUCCAACUAAUCAAAUGGCUGGAUGCAAUGGAUGGUUUUCUCAAAAAUCUACUAAGUUUUGAAAUCCGACAUUAAAACCCUAGUUGGUCAAAUGAAAUUGACAAUUUAUUAAAAAUCGACCGGAUUACCCUAAAAGGGAAACGGGUCAAAUGAAUUGAGUGAAAUUUAAAACUUACUCAAAAUUGACCGAAUCAUCCUAAAAAAGGAACUUGGUCAAAUGAAUUGAAUGAAAUUGAGAAUUUAUUCAAAAUUGACCAGAUCGCCCUAAAAGGGUAAAUUGGUCAAAUGAAUCGACGAUUUGUUCAAAAUCGACCGGAUGACCCUAAAAAGGGUAAAUUGGUCAAAUGACCCUAAAAAGGGUAAAUUGGUCAAAUGAAUUGACGAUUUAUCAAAAAUUGAUUAGGAAUUGACAAAAUGGAUCGAUUGAAUCGGCCGGCCAUUGGUGGUUUCAAAAAAUUAGUCUAUGAGCCUUCUAAAAUCACGAUUUGGCCUCAGUUUAUUAACUGUCUCAAUGAUAAGGAAUUAUUUGUGAAUUUCUUCAAAUUAAUGUCCUUUACGCAAGGGAUUUUUACCAAUUUUUGAUAAAAUGGCCAAAAAGUGAUUAUUAGAUGCUCAUAUUCCAAAGAUUACUCUAUGAAAAUGAUCGGGUCCUACCUUACCUUGUGCACUACCCCUUUGGAUGGUACAAAAUGUAAACGUGCAAGUCUCACUGGAUUAAGUAUCCGAGACACAAAGGUGGCUUAUUCCUAAUGUGGGAUCCCCUAAAUGGCAUUCCCUUUCUAGGGUUUAUGCAUGAUGCCAUUUAUUAAAGCAGUAAAAUGUGCAAUUCGAAAUGAAACGUGACCUAAGGAACCCUUUUAUUUGCCAGGGUAGGCCUAAAAUGCUAUACAAUUACCAAAAUCUAUGAAUGCAAUAUACCAAAAUCUUUAAACGUGCAAUACCCUAUCUACGAGGGUAGGUUCUAAAAGAAGGUCAUGCCAGACCUCUUAUUUCCUAACGUUUGUGAAUGCAAAAGAUAAGAAACAAGGAAACGUUAGUUCAACACAUAAUCACAUAACACGUUGGAUAAUACAAAAGCAACAAAGAAAUAAGGAAAGAGGGUGGGAUCCCUCCCCUCGUGCAUGGUGUCCCUAAUAGGGUAAGGUCGACUCUACCUUAGGCAAUUCUAAAAUGGAUGCAUGAGGUUGGGGUUCACUAAUGCAUCUAGACUCGAUAAGUCAUAGGUCCCCAAGCCUUCAGACUCGUGACCAAGGGUCAUCACUCCCAAGGCCCUUUGUCGGUGGCUCGAGCGAUUCCCCAAACACCGCUACGCACACGUCGUGUCACGGCCGCAUGUUUGAGUGAAUCUAUAAAAAACCUCAACCUUCGACUAAAAACUAAGGAUAUUAACCCAAAGUUUAAAGCGGAAGAGUGAGUGACCCAUUGGAUCGUGCUACGCACACGUCGUGUUACGAUCACACGUCCAAGUGGGUCUCCUAAUCCUAAUAGGGUGGAGUGGCGUGACAAGCCACUAAAAAGAAAAAUAAAGGAGGAUGAAUAGUAAAGCGUAUGCGCGUAUGAUAGUGCACGUUUUGGAGGGGAGGGAUCGAGAACCAACGCGAGGCUCUAAGGUAGAAUCCCCUCCCAAAUGCAAUGCAAAGCGCGGAAUCACAUACAAACAUCCAUUCAUCAAAACAAUCGUAGGCGAACGUGUGAGGACGUGAGUUGAUACGCGAAAAUGCAAAAAACCUAGAAAAAGGGAAAAAUGCAACCCUAAACAUCCAAUGUGAUAAAUAAAAAGGUUUAAAAGAAGAAAAAGAUUGAUUAAAUCAAAUUUGCUCGGACUCUCGAAUGUCCCCAGUGGAGUCGCCAACUGUCGCGCCCCAUUUUUUGAUAAAUAAAUAAAAUGGUUUAAAAAUGUAUUUUUUGAUUCAAUUUGUGAUUUGAAAAAUUAAUUGUGAUUUAAAAGAAAGAUGGGUCUAAAUGGGACUUUUGAAAAUGCGACGAUUUGACCCAAGAAAAAUAGUUCAAAAAGGGUUUUUUAUAUGAAAAAUGGAGUCGCCACUUGGUAUAGAGUUAGGGUGUACCAAGUCACCCAAAAAAGUGAAUUUUUUAAGGAAAAAAGUAAGAAACCCUUUUGAACGACUCCUAGUCCACGUAAACCAAUGAAAAAGGUUCGGGAGUCACAUUUGACGAAGGGGAAGGCAAGGAUGAAAAUCCAAGGCACCCCUCUGACCUAGCCAAGGCUAGUUGCGUUGAUUUAAUCAAAGAUUUUCUUGUUUUAACCAAAGAAUUUAUUACAUUUGGAUGCACUACAUGAAUGCAAACCCUAGACCUAGGGGGAUUGGGGGAAAUUUCCCUUCAAAGGUUGAGUGGUGCCAAUCACAUUAAUCGUGAAGCCCAAUAACGAUCCUUUGAAGAAGUCACGAAUAAUGCGAGUGGGAUGCAAAUGAAUGGGAUGCAUGUAUGCAAUGUGAGGACAUGAGCUUGAAAAAGUAAUAAAAGAUAAGAAUGUGUAAAUGGAAAUGUGCACGUGAGUGGGCAAGGUGCGGUGUGUGAAAUGAUAAUAUGAAGUACAUGUGUGCAAGUGAUGAUAAAAGUGUUUGUGUGCAAGUGAAGGGAUAAAAAGGUGUACGUGUGCAAAUGAGGGGAGAAGUGUUCGUGUGCAAGUGAAGGGAUAAAGGUGUACGUGUGCAAAUGAGGGGAGAAAAUGAAAGUGUAAUGAUAGAGUGGAUGCAUGAACCUAGGGAAUU
This 12095-nucleotide long non-coding RNA is filed under the name Coffea arabica (coffee). Its description in RNAcentral is "long non-coding RNA (CARA_LNC003255)". Lineage: Eukaryota; Viridiplantae; Streptophyta; Magnoliopsida; Gentianales; Rubiaceae. The record is from RNAcentral.